This 404-nucleotide long non-coding RNA is filed under the name Taeniopygia guttata (zebra finch). Its description in RNAcentral is "lncRNA (ENSTGUG00000021222.1)". Lineage: Eukaryota; Metazoa; Chordata; Aves; Passeriformes; Estrildidae. The record is from RNAcentral.
GCAAUUUUGAAAUCCUCUUCUACUCUUGUCCUCAAGAGAUGCCAGCUGCUAUGGACUGAGGCACAGCAUGGCCCAACAAAGAACUGUGCUGGUUAUAGUGCAGCAAGGCAGGUAGUGGAAAAGACCCAAAUCCACAAAGCAGAAUAAUAACUAGAAAAAUAUUUCUGAGGAUCCCAAAAGCUUUGGGGAGAGUUGAAGCAGAGAACUCCAAAACUAUGCAUGAUGGUAUGAACAGCCCAUGGCAAAUAAUCCUUUCAGUAAGUCAGCAUUUCCAGUUUUCUCUCAUUAUAUGGUAUUUGAUAUGACUUGUCUCUGAAACAGAAAACCCCAGAUAUGAACAAGGAUUAGCUGAAAUACACUGCCAUAAGCCUAGCCUACUUUAGGUUGAGCUCUGGAAAGCUGUA